RNAcentral lists this ribosomal RNA (162 nucleotides) under Brasiliocroton mamoninha. RNAcentral describes it as "5.8S ribosomal RNA". It matches the Rfam family "5.8S ribosomal RNA". From Rfam's summary of the family: 5.8S ribosomal RNA (5.8S rRNA) is a component of the large subunit of the eukaryotic ribosome. It is transcribed by RNA polymerase I as part of the 45S precursor that also contains 18S and 28S rRNA. Functionally, it is thought that 5.8S rRNA may be involved in ribosome translocation. Lineage: Eukaryota; Viridiplantae; Streptophyta; Magnoliopsida; Malpighiales; Euphorbiaceae. The record is from RNAcentral.
AACGACUCUCGGCAACGGAUAUCUCGGCUCUCGCAUCGAUGAAGAACGCAGCAAAAUGCGAUACUUGGUGUGAAUUGCAGAAUCCCGCGAACCAUCGAGUUUUUGAACGCAAGUUGCGCCCAAAGCCUUUUGGCCGAGGGCACGUCUGCCUGGGUGUCACGC